GACGAACGCUGGCGGCGUGCUUAACACAUGCAAGUCGAACGGAAAGGCCCUGCUUUUGUGGGGUGCUCGAGUGGCGAACGGGUGAGUAACACGUGAGUAACCUGCCCUUGACUUUGGGAUAACUUCAGGAAACUGGGGCUAAUACCGGAUAGGAGCUCCUGCUGCAUGGUGGGGGUUGGAAAGUUUCGGCGGUUGGGGAUGGACUCGCGGCUUAUCAGCUUGUUGGUGGGGUAGUGGCUUACCAAGGCUUUGACGGGUAGCCGGCCUGAGAGGGUGACCGGCCACAUUGGGACUGAGAUACGGCGCAGAAUCCUACGGGAGGCAGCAGUGGGGAAUAUUGCACAAUGGGCGGAAGCCUGAUGCAGCAACGCCGCGUGCGGGAUGACGGCCUUCGGGUUGUAAACCGCUUUCGCAUGUGACGAAGCGUGAGUGACGGUAAUGGGUAAAGAAGCACCGGCUAACUACGUG
This 468-nucleotide ribosomal RNA is filed under the name uncultured bacterium. Its description in RNAcentral is "partial 16S ribosomal RNA". It matches the Rfam family "Bacterial small subunit ribosomal RNA", at positions 28 to 507 of the family's 1533-position model. The record is from RNAcentral.